GAUGAGAACGUAGCGAAAUGCGAUACGUAAUGUGAAUUGCAAAUUCAGUGAAUCAUCGAGUCUUUGAACGCACAUUGCGCCCCCUGGUAUUCCGGGGGGCAUGCCUGUCCGAGCGUCAUUGCUGCCCUCAAGCACGGCUUGUGUGUUGGGCCCCGUCCUCCGAUUCCGGGGGACGGGCCCGAAAGGCAGCGGCGGCACCGCGUCCGGUCCUCGAGCGUAUGGGGCUUUGUCACCCGCUCUGUAGGCCCGGCCGGCGCUUGCCGAUCAACCCAAAUUUUUAUCCAGGUUGACCUCGGAUCAGGUAGGGAUACCCGCUGAACUUAAGCAUAUCAAUAAGCGGAGGA
This 344-nucleotide unclassified non-coding RNA is filed under the name soil metagenome. RNAcentral describes it as "partial contains 5.8S ribosomal RNA, internal transcribed spacer 2, and large subunit ribosomal RNA". The stretch from base 5 to 118 matches the Rfam family "5.8S ribosomal RNA", at positions 40 to 154 of the family's 154-position model. The record is from RNAcentral.